This is a small nucleolar RNA of Anolis carolinensis (green anole), 312 nucleotides long. The record is from RefSeq and is a predicted model, not a curated record. NCBI's taxonomy places the organism in Eukaryota, Metazoa, Chordata, Lepidosauria, Squamata, Anolidae.
GCUUCAUGAUGACAUCAAGGCGAAUGUGACCUCAAUAGCAGGCUGCUCCCUCAAUCUGUUGCUCAUAUAACGGUCUGUAAUCUUGGUGGGCAAUACAAAGUAAUGUUUGUUUGCUGUAAGGGCAGACCUACAGAAUAUCCCAUUCCUCCUUCCAUUUAGAAGGAAAUGGCCAUUCCUUUGCAAAGCAUCAUAAGGAAUGGUAAAGGGAAUGGGGACAGGGCCAACUUCAUACGCCUGGGCUAUAGGUUGCUGGGUGCUGCCAGAAUGCUGGCUGUUGGGGCAUGAGCACAAGUCUUUGGUAAUCUGAAAGCU